GAUGAACGCUGGCGGCGUGCCUAAUACAUGCAAGUCGAGCGAACAGACGAGAGUGCUUGCACUCUCUGACGUUAGCGGCGGACGGGUGAGUAACACGUGGGUAACCUACCUAUUAGACUGGGAUAAAUUCGGGACACCGGCGCUAAAACCGGACCAUAUUUAUCCUCGCAUGGAGCAAUAGUGAAAGACGGUUCUGCUGUCACUUAUAGCUGGACCCGCGGUGUAUUAGCUAGCGGGUGAGGUAACGGCUCACCAAGGCAACGAUACAAAGCCGACCUGGGAGGGUGAUCGGCCACACUGGGACUGAGACACGGCCCAGAGUCCUACGGGAGGCAGCAGUAGGGAAUCUGCCGCAAAGGACGAAAGUCUGACGGAGCAAUGCCGCGUGAGUGAAGAAGGUGUUCGGAUCGUAAGACUCUGUUGUAAGGGAAGAACGAGUACGUUAGUAACUGAACGUACCUUGACGGUACCUUACCAGAAAGCCACGGCUAACUACGUG
This 499-nucleotide ribosomal RNA is filed under the name uncultured bacterium. RNAcentral describes it as "partial 16S ribosomal RNA". It matches the Rfam family "Bacterial small subunit ribosomal RNA", at positions 28 to 507 of the family's 1533-position model. The record is from RNAcentral.